RNAcentral lists this ribosomal RNA (527 nucleotides) under uncultured bacterium. RNAcentral describes it as "bacterial SSU rRNA". It matches the Rfam family "Bacterial small subunit ribosomal RNA", at positions 524 to 1050 of the family's 1533-position model. The record is from RNAcentral.
UACGUAGGGGGCGAGCGUUGUCCGGAAUGACUGGGCGUAAAGGGCGUGUAGGCGGCCGAUUAAGUCCGGAGUGAAAGUCCUGCUUUCAAGGUGGGAAUUGCUUUGGAAACUGGUUGGCUUGAGUGCGGAAGAGGUAAGUGGAAUUCCCAGUGUAGCGGUGAAAUGCGUAGAGAUUGGGAGGAACACCAGUGGCGAAGGCGACUUACUGGGCCGUAACUGACGCUGAGGCGCGAAAGCGUGGGGAGCGAACAGGAUUAGAUACCCUGGUAGUCCACGCGGUAAACGAUGAAUGCUAGGUGUAGGGGGUAUCGACCCCUCCUGUGCCGGAGUAAACACAAUAAGCAUUCCGCCUGGGGAGUACGGCCGCAAGGUUGAAACUCAAAGGAAUUGACGGGGGCCCGCACAAGCAGCGGAGCAUGUUGUUUAAUUCGAUGCAACGCGAAGAACCUUACCAGGUCUUGACAUUGAUGUAAACCGCCAGAGAUGGCGGGUGCCUUCGGGCGACAGAAAACAGGUGGUGCAUGGUU